RNAcentral lists this microRNA (22 nucleotides) under Euprymna scolopes. Its description in RNAcentral is "Esc-Novel-57_5p (mature (guide))". Lineage: Eukaryota; Metazoa; Mollusca; Cephalopoda; Sepiida; Sepiolidae. The record is from RNAcentral.
UGAUUAUAGUUAACGGCCCGAG